Molecule: long non-coding RNA, 1286 nt
Filed under: Panax ginseng (ginseng)
Lineage: Eukaryota; Viridiplantae; Streptophyta; Magnoliopsida; Apiales; Araliaceae
Description: long non-coding RNA (PGIN_LNC012524)
Source: RNAcentral
UUCCUAGAUCAAUAUUAAAACUUACAAAUGCAGCUUCUUUAGUCAGCAAAUACUAACCCCUACAUAAUUUAUACACUCGUAGGGGUAAAACAUGAAGCUUAUCACAUAAAUUUUCAACUUGUAGCUUAUAUUAUACUCCUGUAGGCAAAUAGGCAAAAAGUAUAUUUCUAUAUACAAUCAUAAUAUUAUGGGAACUGUCCGCAUGUAUUUUCCACAUAGUCUUCACUCACCUGAGCAUGCAGUGGGUUAUACCUUCAUGUGAUGUGAAAAAGAACACUGUAGAAAUAUUAAAAACACAUGUGAAAAUAGUAUUCCCCUAUAUUAUUAUUAUUAUUGUGUUUUUAUGUCCUAUGAUGAAACAACUUUAAAGAUGAUCGAGGGGUUCAAUAUUAUAGGCCUCUAAAGUUUUAUGCAGUACACAAAUAGGAGACAACCUUGACUACAUCAAUGUCAAGGCAAUGUAUACAUAUAAUUAAUGUUUUACUCUAUUUAUGUCUAAAGAUAGUAUGUACCUAUAAAAAGGGAAUCGUCACUCACAUAGGUUUAGCAUUUUUUAUUUGUACCUGAAGCAAAAUAUCUACAACUUUCCCAUUUUUUAUUCAUUAGCUGCAUGCAAGAUGUGUAAACCAACAAUUUUAUAAAGACAUCACCACCUUAUUUCACACAAGUAUACGCUAUCAUUGACCAAGAUUAGCUAGAUGUGGAAGCGUAAGAGUUGUUAAUUUCCAGAUACUUGUAAAUAAAAAAUGCCUAAUUUUCAGACGUGAUGUAGUUGGAUUUGGGUAAUUUUGCAGCUUGCUAAUGUUAUAGUAGUAUUACUACUACCUACCACGCGCACACAAAUAUAUACUGCUGCGUAUUCCCCCUAUAGCAUUGCAUUACCAUGUCCUUCUCAGGAAGAAACCAAUUUGGGGGUUAUCAUGUUAAAAAUGAGCCCAAACAGUCCUAAAAACCCUGCAUAGAUUGCCUCGUAAGAAGUGAAACUGAAAGUAACAAAAAAACUGAUGCUAUAUAUUUUAUUUCUUUUUUUCUGAAUUGUGAGGAAACAACCUAGCGGCUUAUAUAAGAGUGACUAUGCAAAGCAAAGGAAUCAUAGUGUCUGCUAGUGUGGCUUAUAUAAGAGUGACUAUGCAAAGAAAAAGAAUCAUAGUGUCUGCUAGUGUUUGUGGCUUAGGAGGAGUUGCUUACUUGCAUUUACUUUUAAGCUAAAUUGUAUUUGGCUCCAAUAUGAUCCUGAGGUUGCAUUGCAACAGUCAAUCAAAGAACUCAGUCUCAUGGAAGAGAAA